CCUACGGGAGGCAGCAGUGAGGAAUAUUGGUCAAUGGGCGCUAGCCUGAACCAGCCAAGUAGCGUGAAUGAUGACUGUCCUAUGCGUUGUAAACUUCUUUUAUCUGGGUAUAAAGUGCAGUACGUAUACUUCUUCGCAUGUACCUUAUGAAUAAGGCUCGGCUAACUCCGUGCCAGCAGCCGCGGUAAUACGGAGGAUGCGAGCGUUAUCCGGAUUUAUUGGGUUUAAAGGUUGCGUAGGCGGAUUGUUAAGUCAGUGGUCACAUUGAGGGGCUCAACCCAGUCCCGCCAUUGAAACUGGCGGUCUUGAGUGGACGAGAAGUAUGCGGAAUGCGGGGUGUAGCGGUGAAAUGCAUAGAUAUCACGCAGAACCCCGAUUGCGAAGGCAGCAUGCCGGCUUCCGACUGACGCUGAAGCACGAAAGCGUGGGGAUCGAACAGGAUUAGAUACCCCAGUAGUC
This 459-nucleotide ribosomal RNA is filed under the name uncultured bacterium. Its description in RNAcentral is "partial 16S ribosomal RNA". It matches the Rfam family "Bacterial small subunit ribosomal RNA", at positions 338 to 795 of the family's 1533-position model. The record is from RNAcentral.